This 335-nucleotide ribosomal RNA is filed under the name Acinetobacter baumannii OIFC137. RNAcentral describes it as "bacterial SSU rRNA". It matches the Rfam family "Bacterial small subunit ribosomal RNA", at positions 60 to 397 of the family's 1533-position model. The record is from RNAcentral. Lineage: Bacteria; Pseudomonadati; Pseudomonadota; Gammaproteobacteria; Moraxellales; Moraxellaceae.
AGUCGAGCGGGGGAAGGUAGCUUGCUACCGGACCUAGCGGCGGACGGGUGAGUAAUGCUUAGGAAUCUGCCUAUUAGUGGGGGACAACAUCUCGAAAGGGAUGCUAAUACCGCAUACGUCCUACGGGAGAAAGCAGGGGAUCUUCGGACCUUGCGCUAAUAGAUGAGCCUAAGUCGGAUUAGCUAGUCGGUGGGGUAAAGGCCUACCAAGGCGACGAUCUGUAGCGGGUCUGAGAGGAUGAUCCGCCACACUGGGACUGAGACACGGCCCAGACUCCUACGGGAGGCAGCAGUGGGGAAUAUUGGACAAUGGGGGGAACCCUGAUCCAGCCAUGC